CCUACGGGCGGCAGCAGUGGGGAAUAUUGGGCAAUGGGCGCAAGCCUGACCCAGCAACGCCGCGUGAAGGAAGAAGGCUUUCGGGUUGUAAACUUCUUUUCUGCGGGACGAAGAAAGUGACGGUACCUCAGGAAUAAGCCACGGCUAACUACGUGCCAGCAGCCGCGGUAAUACGUAGGUGGCAAGCGUUAGCCGGAUUUAUUGGGUGUAACGGGCGGGUAGGCGGGAAAGAAAGUCAGAUGUGAAAACUCAGGGCUCAACCCUGAGCCUGCAUUUGAAACUGUUUUUCUUGAGUGCUGGAGAGGCAAGCGGAAUUCCGUGUGUAGCGGUGAAAGGCGUAGAUAUACGGAGGAACACCAGUGGCGAAGGCGGAUUGCUGGACAGUAACUGACGCUGAGGCGCGAAAGCGUGGGGAGCAAACAGGAUUAGAUACCCCGGUAGUC
RNAcentral lists this ribosomal RNA (443 nucleotides) under uncultured bacterium. RNAcentral's name for it is "partial 16S ribosomal RNA". It matches the Rfam family "Bacterial small subunit ribosomal RNA", at positions 338 to 795 of the family's 1533-position model. The record is from RNAcentral.